RNAcentral lists this long non-coding RNA (685 nucleotides) under Capsicum annuum. RNAcentral's name for it is "long non-coding RNA (CANN_LNC012471)". The record is from RNAcentral. Lineage: Eukaryota; Viridiplantae; Streptophyta; Magnoliopsida; Solanales; Solanaceae.
UCAUUUUUAUUCUUGUGUAAAUAUCUUGUUUUCUAAUAAGAUGACCUGUCAAGCCUAUUUUAAUUUCUUUUAAAAGAAGAAUUAUAGGUUAAAACAAAUAGUUCGAAGCUAUUUGAAUCAACAAUAUCCAAAUCUAAACUAAAUCCGAACAUGAAUUUUGGAUAGAUUUUCUUUGGAAAAGUAUUGAUGACUCAAUUUAUCGACGGAUUUUGCUAGAAUGGUAGCCAAAAUCGGCUAAAAGAGACGAUUUAAGUGGAUGGUGCAUUUUGGUGGCUUUUCUAGCGGAAGAGAGGGCGACUACUGGUAGAUCUACCAGAGAAGAUGGUGAUUUCAGCAAUGGUUUCACUGGCAAAACGGAGCAGUGGUGAGUGGUGGUUGGUUUUCUAGGGGUUCAGGUGUUUUUUCGGCGAGUGUACAUGUAGUGCAUGUUUUUUUUUAAGUGUGGGUGUAGAGUGGCAACGAAAAAGGGGAGAAAGGGGAGUCACCGGCGACGAGAAUGGCAAUUUCAGCCAGAUCUGGUGCUGGAGAGGAAGGAAAGAGAUGGCGCGGUGACGGGGUAUACCGGUUGGUGGUGCCGGCCAGAGGAAUUUGCUAGCGGUGCCAGCGGAGGUUUUCUUCGUUGGUUUGCCAAUUUCUGGUAAAUAUGGUGUUUCGAGUGAGUUUCUGAUUAUUUAGUUGUCGGAGG